CGGCGAACUCUGCGCAAGCAGCCGCGGGAACACGUAGGGGGGAAGCGUUGUCCGGAAUUAUGGGGCGUAAAGGGCUCGGAGGCGGUCGGGUACGUCUGCUGUGAAAACCCGGGGCUUAACCCUGGGCUUGCAGUGGAUACGGGCAGACUAGAGGCAGGUAGGGGAGAAUGGAAUUCCCGGUGUAGCGGUGAAAUGCGCAGAUAUCGGGAGGAACACCGGUGGCGAAGGCGGUUCUCUGGGCCUGACCUGACGCUGAGGAGCGAAAGCGUGGGGAGCGAACAGGAUUAGAUACCCCGGAGUC
This 301-nucleotide ribosomal RNA is filed under the name uncultured Halorussus sp. RNAcentral's name for it is "bacterial SSU rRNA". It matches the Rfam family "Bacterial small subunit ribosomal RNA", at positions 494 to 795 of the family's 1533-position model. Lineage: Archaea; Methanobacteriati; Methanobacteriota; Halobacteria; Halobacteriales; Haladaptataceae. The record is from RNAcentral.